AAGUUGCAGGGUAUAGACCCGAAACCCGGUGAUCUAGCCAUGGGCAGGUUGAAGGUUGGGUAACACUAACUGGAGGACCGAACCGACUAAUGUUGAAAAAUUAGCGGAUGACCUGUGGCUGGGGGUGAAAGGCCAAUCAAACCGGGAGAUAGCUGGUUCUCCCCGAAAGCUAUUUAGGUAGCGCCUCGUGAAUUCAUCUCCGGGGGUAGAGCACUGUUUCGGCUAGGGGGCCAUCCCGGCUUACCAACCCGAUGCAAACUGCGAAUACCGGAGAAUGUUAUCACGGGAGACACACGGCGGGUGCUAACGUCCGUCGUGAAGAGGGAAACAACCCAGACCGCCAGCUAAGGUCCCAAAGUCAUGGUUAAGUGGGAAACGAUGUGGGAAGGCCCAGACAGCCAGGAUGUUGGCUUAGAAGCAGCCAUCAUUUAAAGAAAGCGUAAUAGCUCACUGGUCGAGUCGGCCUGCGCGGAAGAUGUAACGGGGCUAAACCAUGCACCGAAGCUGCGGCAGCGAACGUAUCACUUAAAGCGAUUCAGCGGGUUACGAUUGACGGAGCGAAGCGACGUCAAAGCGUAUACAAAGUCGAGUCGGUUUAAGGAUACGUUCGUUGGGUAGGGGAGCGUUCUGUAAGCCUGUGAAGGUGGCCUGUGAGGGUUGCUGGAGGUAUCAGAAGUGCGAAUGCUGACAUAAGUAACGAUAAAGCGGGUGAAAAGCCCGCUCGCCGGAAGACCAAGGGUUCCUGUCCAACGUUAAUCGGGGCAGGGUGAGUCGACCCCUAAGGCGAGGCCGAAAGGCGUAGUCGAUGGGAAACGGGUUAAUAUUCCCGUACUUGGUGUUACUGCGAAGGGGGGACGGAGAAGGCUAUGUUGGCCGGGCGACGGUU
RNAcentral lists this ribosomal RNA (886 nucleotides) under Salmonella enterica subsp. enterica serovar Enteritidis. Its description in RNAcentral is "partial 23S ribosomal RNA". It matches the Rfam family "Bacterial large subunit ribosomal RNA", at positions 697 to 1503 of the family's 2925-position model. The record is from RNAcentral. Lineage: Bacteria; Pseudomonadati; Pseudomonadota; Gammaproteobacteria; Enterobacterales; Enterobacteriaceae.